RNAcentral lists this ribosomal RNA (253 nucleotides) under uncultured bacterium. RNAcentral describes it as "partial 16S ribosomal RNA". It matches the Rfam family "Bacterial small subunit ribosomal RNA", at positions 524 to 776 of the family's 1533-position model. The record is from RNAcentral.
UACGUAGGGGGCAAGCGUUGUCCGGAAUCAUUGGGCGUAAAGAGCGCGUCGGCGGUCCGGUAAGUCCGCUCUGAAAGUCCGGGGCUCAACCCCGGGAGGCGGGCGGAUACUGUCGGGCUAGAGUCCGGAAGAGGCGAGUGGAAUUCCUGGUGUAGCGGUGAAAUGCGCAGAUAUCAGGAGGAACACCAAUGGCGAAGGCAGCUCGCUGGGACGGUACUGACGCUGAGGCGCGAAAGCGUGGGGAGCAAACAGG